Molecule: long non-coding RNA, 3996 nt
Organism: Elaeis guineensis (African oil palm)
Lineage: Eukaryota; Viridiplantae; Streptophyta; Magnoliopsida; Arecales; Arecaceae
Source: RefSeq, a predicted model, not a curated record
GAUAAUAAAAUGAAAAGAAAAAAAGAUCAGGGAAAGAUCUUGCCCUUAAUUUUUUUCCGUUUCUCCUUUGUUUUAGUUGAUAUUUCUUAUGUUUUCCCCCAUUUUUCUUAUAGUUUUUGCAUCCUAAAGAGUCCCAAUCGGGCGGUCGAAAAGGAGAAGCUGAGAUGAUGAUGACUGGGGUUUUUGGUAUUUCCUUUCUCUCUCUCCUCCGGUGCAUGAGGUUCCGUCAGAAUAAAUGGCCAGAUUGUCGCCGCCCAAACCCUCUCUCUCGACCCCAACCUCCUGCUUUCCUCCCUCGUCGCCGCCUCUGCCAUCUCCUGCCUCUCCGACACCUUCGCCUCCCUCUCCUCGUGGAGACGACGGAUGGCGUCGUCCGGGUGAAGGCAGAUGGCACCGACGAGGGUGAUGUAGGGCUCGAGUUCGAGGCCGCCGAACUCUGAUCGAAGAUCCACCAUAAGUCGCUUUAGCCUCGCCUCUACAUCCUCCGAUGGCAGCGCCCACACAGAGUACCACUCUGCCACUAAUGACUGGCCGUCGGGUUCUCCAAGGAGCCGUCCUCUAAUGGCUCCAAAGAGCUCUGUGUCGCCUUCCAGAACCCCUCCACCGAACCUCCUUCCGUAGCUCCUACCAGUCCCCCUCCUCCUUCGAUGACGACGAUGGCGACCCCUCCCGCCUCAGUGCCUCCCCCAGCCCCACCGCCCGCGACCUUGCCGCCACACAAUAGAGUAGGUGUGCCAGGCCCUACCUUGAGCCAUCAUGGGCCGGGCCCGGCCGGACCGGGUUCGGGCUGACCGCCCCAUUUUUACACCCCUACGUGAGACGUCAGCUGCGGGGCCCUCUUAACAGAAGCAAGGAUCAUUAAGAUCUGCCCUCGUCCGCGGAUCCACGUAAUCGACGCUCCGGAUUAAAAGCGAUGCAAAGAUUAGCGGGGUAGCGAUAUAAACAGAGUAGCGCGUUUUGGAUUUCACCCGUUCGGCUCUACUGUUCUUGGGGUCGAGGUCCUGGCUCUCCUGCAGAACUCACCUUCCUCUACGUGGUGCUCGUUAGCGAGGGGCUUUGGGUGGCGCCCCUCCCUUCCUAAGCCUACGGCUUCUUUUCUGCGUUCUUCUUCUUUUUGUUCUCCCAGGCGGGUUUUUAUGAAGAGCCAGUGAGGAUUUGGAUUUGCUACGUUAUGAAUCAGACAGAGAUCACCUAUUUUAAACGGCAAGGUGAUCUUGGAUGGUUUGCUGCCGUGGUGCAGGCAACCGAUUUGCAUCAGUUUUGAUUUAGGUUAACAAUACAAUGCUGGAUUAAACGGUCAAUCUGAGCCUCCUCUGUCUUCCCUUUCUUUGAUUUCCAAAUUUCUGCCUGUCGCUUUCUUUUUCAAGUAUUUUUUUUUUUUAAAUUUCGUUAAGGUAAUUAAUUUAUUCCGAAGAGUUGUUCCUGUGGUUUCUCAACAAAUCAUGGGAUUUGGAGGCCGAUGAAAGCCUGGGGAUAGGGAUUGCUUCAGUAGCAGCUGGGGUUUGGAAAUCCUCUAAUUUUCUGUUUUGAUAAUUGAAAAUUAGGGAUUGUUUGGAUGGUUUUAAGGUUUAUCACAUUUUUUAAAGGUUUUGAAUCCACUUCCAACCACAUGUUCUUGUUUUACUUGACUCUAUCUUUCUUUCUUUUUUCUUUUUUGCUUUUAGGUUUUGAAUAGUUUUCUUUUUCCUUAAGUAUUCCUUACGCUUUUCCUUCCCCUUUUUUUAGCAAUGAUAUCACCACAGGUAACUUGAAAAAGCUUCAAUGUUAUCCUCCAGAAAAAGUGUACGUUCCUGCACCAACCUGGUGUUCCAUAAGGUGUUGCAGGAUCUCUCAUGGAAGCCUACCUGCAGCGGGUAUGGGAUAAGAUACCUGGAUCAUGUUCCCUGUUGCUAUCAGGUGGUGUAUCAAUAGGUGGUGCAUAAAUUUCUAGAUGACCUGUUUCAAUUUGAGUAGUGGCAUGGGAUGAAGGUUUUGAUGGUGGACGGUGGAGGAGGAUUUUUGGUAGUAGUGAAGAUGAGGUUGACGAGCAGCACUGGUUCCGUAAGCUUCUGAUUACGAUGCAAAAAUAUGAUGAAGGAUUUUUGAUGUGGAUUUUUUUGAGAUUGUUAGAUUUUUGAGGUUUAUCUGCACAAUGGUGAAGAAAUUUGAUAAUCUUAUGAUUGUAAUGCUAUAUUAUUGGUUAAAUUUGCUCUGUCAUGAUGUUAGGGUUGCACAAGGUGGAUACCAAUGCAGAUUUUUCUUUCUUUCUUUCUUUCUUUCUUUCUUUUGUGUGUGCAGUCAUAUAGAUAUUUGGGUUUGUUGACUUCUAUUUUUGGCUGUUAAUAUGUCUUAUUAUAGCAGUAACUCCUGGUUGUUUUCUCACAUUAUACCGUGCAUGUUGCUCCCUUUCACAUUACAAGGCUGAGUUCUCUUUAUUGAGCUCUUUGCACAAUGAGGGUUAGUUAUAUUUUCUUUUUCAAUUUUAUCUAAUCACAUGAAAUAUUAUCCUUGUGUACGAACAUAGUUACCAAUUGUCCAGCCAAUCCCAACUAUUUGAGCUAAUUGCUUUUUUUUUUUAAUCUAUAUGUGUCAUCUCAAGUUUCAUUUUAUUCAGCUAGCUCAGCUUCUAAGAACUUUCUUUGCAUGAAUUCGGUACUCCACACUGAUGUUAAUUCUGCAGAGGCAAACUGUUCCCACUGACUAAUACACCCUUAUCAGGUUCUACUGCAAGGUCAAGAUUUUUUGUUUAAUUUUUUUAAUUUUUUUAAUUUUUAAUUUUUAAAUUUUUUUUUGGUCUUAGGUCAUACUCCGAAGUAUUUUAUACUUCGAGUCACUAGGUAUAUCAUACUUUUUUUCAUUUUUGUUGGUAUGUGACAUUCUUUCUUUUUGGAAAAAUUAUCUGAUUUCUGUAUAGAGAUAUGAGUGAGAAUUUAUCUUUAUCUUUAUUUCUCCUCCCUCCCUUGAGCACACCUUCCUUUCUAUUAUACAGUCUUUAUGUGUAUAGUAACCUGUGUAAGGGCAAAUAAAAGUAUGAUACACAAAGUGGUAUUUUCAUUGUCUUGUUCAAGAUUAAUUGCAUCAUUUAAUGCAAGAAAUGGUUGCAUAAAACUAUGGCUGAUGAAUAUAAAUGUUUGGAACUGAAGUUUAGUAGUGAUACUCUUGAUGUUUGAGUUGCCACAAGGCGGAUACACAUAGGUAUUUGGGUUUGUUAACUUGUAAUAUUGACUGUUUGAUAUAUGUUUCCUUAUUGCAUCAAGGAGCUAGGGUUUUUGGAAGCCAUAUUCUCAAAUAUGCCAUUCUGCUGCCUGUUGAGAACCGCUGUGCUGCACGUAACUGUUUUCUGCCACCUGUUGUUCACGGGAAGAGGAUAUCAUAAUUCCUUCUAAUAAAAAUGGUGCUUCAAGAGCUCUCCAAAACAAUGCCUUAGUAUUUUCCCAAAGCUGUUGGGCAGCCUGAAACUGCCGUCUCCUCUUGCAUGAUUAACAAGCUGGAUAAGGUGGCCGAAGUACGAGAGCCCAUCCGACCAGCAAGACCCUUCUGUUCCUCCAUUGCUGGAUACCUGUGUACUAUUUUCUAUCUCAGUUGUCCAUUUGGUGCAUAACAAUUUUAAUGUUCUCCUCGGCCAUGUUUGGCACUGGGUUGUCCUCAGGGCAUACGGGCCCAAUUGGAGCUUACGGUUAUGUCCACUUUGGAACGGGCAUGGGAAAGUGCAAUGGUCUUAGGACGCUCGUUAUAUAAAUUAAGAGGAGGGGUUUGUUCUUGGGGUAUAGAAACACAUCAUGCUCCCUCUAAGGAGACAAUUAAAAGCAUCAAUUGUCAAAAUGCAUACCUAUUUCUUUGGAGGAGAAAAGACCAUUGAAAUUUAUUGAGAUCAUAGCUUGCGGUGAAGGGCAAGAUUUUUAAGCCUGGAUCACUCGUAUUAGAUUCAGCAAUUUACCAACUAAAACUGUUGGCACCCUCUACAAUGACUAAUAUGCAUUGGGAGCCUUGUACAUUAAGAAUGGUUGCAACUUACUU